Molecule: ribosomal RNA, 253 nt
Filed under: uncultured bacterium
Lineage: Bacteria
Description: partial 16S ribosomal RNA
Rfam family: Bacterial small subunit ribosomal RNA
Source: RNAcentral
UACGUAGGGUGCAAGCGUUGUCCGGAAUUAUUGGGCGUAAAGAGCUCGUAGGCGGUCUGUCGCGUCUGCUGUGAAAACUCAGGGCUUAACCCUGAGCUUGCAGUGGGUACGGGCGGGCUGGAGUUCGGUAGGGGAGACUGGAAUUCCUGGUGUAGCGGUGAAAUGCGCAGAUAUCAGGAGGAACACCGGUGGCGAAGGCGGGUCUCUGGGCCGAUACUGACGCUGAGGAGCGAAAGCGUGGGGAGCGAACAGG